Molecule: ribosomal RNA, 465 nt
Filed under: uncultured bacterium
Lineage: Bacteria
Description: partial 16S ribosomal RNA
Rfam family: Bacterial small subunit ribosomal RNA
Source: RNAcentral
CCUACGGGAGGCAGCAGUGGGGAAUAUUGCGCAAUGGGCGAAAGCCUGACGCAGCGACGCCGCGUGAGGGAUGAGGGUCUUCGGAUCGUAAACCUCUGUCAGCAGGGAAGAACGGUCACUGUGCUAAUCAGCAGUGAAUUGACGGUACCUGCAAAGGAAGCACCGGCUAACUCCGUGCCAGCAGCCGCGGUAAUACGGAGGGUGCGAGCGUGAAUCGGAAUUACUGUGCGUAAAGCGCUCGUAGGCGGUAUGUCAAGUCAAGGGGGAAAUCCCCGCGCUCAACGUGGGAACUGCCUUUGAAACUGCAAGGCUGGAGUGCGGGAGGGGCAGGCGGAAUGCCUGGUGUAGCGGUGAAAUGCGUAGAUAUCAGGAGGAACACCGGCGGCGAAGGCGGCCUGCUGGACCGCGACUGACGUUGAGGCUCGAAAGCGUGGGGAGCGAACAGGAUUAGAUACCCUUGUAGUC